AGAGGAGUCCAGACUCCGAUCCCAGCUCCACUGCUGCCUCCCGCACGCCUGGAGCCAGCCCGGCCCUCAUCUGUGCACGCAGGGUGUGCUGCACCCCACCAGGCAUCUCCAACUCGGAGAUUCAGCUGCAGCCCUGGCCGUCAGACCCACGGGCCCUGAAGUCCAGGGGGCCCUCUCGCCCGCCUCCUGUCUGCAGAUGGGGAAAUUGAGGCCCAGCCAGGGCAGGGGAUUUGCCGACGUUUCGCAACAAAUUCGAGUCAGAAAUAGGCCCAGCUGGGCCUGCCGGCGCGGAGGCCCGCUCGGGACACUGCUGGCCAACGCAGGGCCCAGCACGGUCCCAGUCACACCCACAGCAGGGUCCUGCCAGCCUUCUCCGCUCUCCCCUGGGGGAAGUGACCCUCCUCCACCUCCCAGAGCCCACGUGAGUCCGCAGGAGGCCCCCCUGGGCCAGGUGCCAGGUGCCGAGUGGCUGCCUCCAACUCGGGGGCUGCUAUGCAAGGAUGUUUCCAGUUCUCCGGGUCCUUCCUUCCACCUGGGAGGUCCGGGGCUGCCGGGCCAUGCUGGUCCCUGUGGCCCUAGGGCCCGCCCAGCGCAGGGCCUGGCAGGGAGAGGGGGAAACGUGGGUGAGGGAAGUGAGUCACCCCUUGGGACACUUCCCUGCUCAGUUCCUGCCUCUCAGCAGCUUCUGCGAGGCAGGUCACACCUGCAGGGGAGCCUGGCAGCGCUAGGAGAGGCAAGGGGUGGGGGUGCCGCCUUUUCAUGGGGCCAAGAGGGGCCCUGAGAGGGACACCGGGUGGACAGCCCCAGGGGCCUCCUUGCUCGGCCAGCCGGCAUCUCCCCCUGCUCCCAGCAUAGGAGGGCCGGUGGCCUGAGUGCUCUGCUCCGUGCCCGGAAAAGACUCAUGUUCCAGGAAAAAGCCGCUUGGCAGGUCGGAGCAAGCUCAUGGUGCUGUUCCCAGACCCGAUGCGAUGCGUGUGGAGGGAGGCCUGCCCUUGCCCCCAGGGCUGCAGGGCGAGAACAGACCUUGAUUCCUGCUAUAACCCUGGGCACGGCCUCUGUUUCUCCGCGUGUGCCCGGGGGCGGCGUGUUCUCAGGGCAGGGGCCUCUAAGGAUCAGAGUGAGGCUGCAGGCCCAGGCUGAGGCCUGCACCACCUCGGCCGGGAGAUGAGUAAAUGUCUGGGUCCCCCUGGCCACUCCAGAGUGAGGCCGCCAAGCCUCCGGCCUGAAGUCCGGCUCCUGUUCUCAGCCUGCCAGGCCCUUGUGCGGUGGCGUCGGGCAGGCAGGGCAGGGAGGCCACGGCAGCCAUCUUCCCGGGGAGCUGGGGCCUGGCCAGCAGCGUUUCCCAGUGGCCUCCUCCUGUGCUCCGAGCUGCAUUACCUCAUCGGGAAGCCAUUCCAGAAAGGAGCUGCGGAGCCCCUGGGAGUGGGAGUGGGGAGAGCUGCGUCAGCGCCCUCCUGGCAGCCUCGGUGCCAGACGAGGGCAGGCGUCACGCCUCCGGGUGUCUGCCUGCCGAGCGACUGCUGGGAGAGCAGCUGGCUUUUGUCAGCGUUUCGGGGUGACCGGGCUGGGCUGCAGCAGGCAGGUGGCGUGGCACGGCCCAUGGCCGGCCAGCUACCAGGUGGGCAGAGGAUCUAUUUCAAGAGCCGGAACCAAAUGGCCAGGCAUGAGGGGAAGCCAGGUGCAAACUCAGUGGCAGAGACCAAGCCCUGACCCCGCAGUCCCAGGCCUCAGUUUCCCCUCAGGCCAGCCCUCCUCCCAGCACCUGUCCUCUGCUUCCUAUAGCCACAAAGAGCACCAGACACGAGUGAGCAGGUGACUACACUCCCUGCUGCCCGCUGGUGUAAGCCAGAGGCCCUGCCACCCACAGCUGGCCUCCAGAGGCCUUUCUGGACCACAGGGUCAGGGCUGAGAGGGGUGGGGGUGGCAGGGGCAGCUGAGGUGCUGGAGAGGGAGGACAAGCUUCCUGCCUGUGGAGGAGACAAGGGCAGCUCCCAACCCUGCUCCUAGCCUUCCUGCCAAGUUUGGAUUCCAGAAACACCUCUUGGUGCCUCAGUUUUCUCAUCUGUUUUGUGUGUGUGUGUGUGUGUGUGUGUGUGUUUUGUAGAUAGGGUCUUUCUCUGUCACCCAGGCUGGAGUGCUGUGGUGCGAUCAUGGCUCACUGCAACCUCUACCUCCUGGGCUCAAGCAAUCCUCCCGCCUCAGUCUCUCGAGUAGCUGGGACCACAGGUGCACACCACCAUGCCUGGCUAAUUUUUGUUUGUUGGUUCAUUUUUGUAGCGACAGGGUCUCCCUAUGUUGCCCAUACUGGUCUCAAACUCAGCUCAAGUGAUCUGCCCGCCUCAGCUUCCCAAAGUGCUGGGAUUACAGGCAUGAGCCACUGCGCCCAGCCCGGCUUUCUCAUCUGUAAAAUGGGUUGACAAUGCCCACCCAGAUAAUGGUUGAAAGGACUCGUGAAACCACGUAGGAGGCACAGGCAGACAGGCACUUGUGGGGGUCCAUGAAUGAGCCUCAGUGCCAGCUCCCCCAGGCCAGCUUCCAGCCUUCACACUGUCUGGGCCAGAGGAGUCUUCCUAAAACAGAGGACUGUGUGGAGCACUUCUCCACAGAGAAGCCUCUUGCCUCAAGUCAGUGACACUGUCCUCCAGCCCCACCCAACUGUACAUGUGCCCAAGCUCAUCAUACUUUUCCUCAAACCCUGUCUGUCAGGAAAACUCCUACUCACCCCGCAAAACUCCAUGUGAGAUGCCCACUCGCUCAUCUAAAAUGCCUCACAGGAUUACUCUAAGAACCAAAGAAGAAUAUACAUGUGUGAACACAUGGGCAUGGUUGCCAAGUGAGGGGCAUCACAUUCAUGACUGUCCCCAUUACUUAUUAGAGCAACCAUAACCAAGAAUGCAGCGGUGGGCAGGAAGUGUUACUGGGGAUAGGAAUUAGCAGGAAGUUUUUCUGGCUUGGAAUUUAAGCCCAACUUUGGCAGAUGGCAGAAUUUUCAGAGAGGAAAGGAGGAAAUUGGAGGCUAGUGUGGCAGUGUUAAAUAUGGCUGCAAAGUCCUUGGUCCUUCUCCCAUUGAAGCGUGGGCCCUAUGGCCUCUCCUCUUGAAUCCAGGUGGGCUUGUGACUACUUCAGCCAAGACAAUGCGGCAGAAGUGUUGUUGGGUAACUUCCAAGGCUCACUCAUAAAAGACCAUAUGGCUUAUAACUUGGAGUCCUAAGUUGCCAUCUAAGAAGGAAGUUCAACAACCUGAGACUUCCAUGCUGUGAGGAAGCCCAAGCUCCAUGAGGAGUCACAUGGGGGUGCACUGGUUGACAGUUCCAGCCUUCCAGCCAGCCCAGCCCAGGCACCAGCCAUGCGAAUGCAGAAGCCAUCUUGGAAGUGGAUCCACCAGCAGCAGGUGUCCCGGCCCCCAGCCAUUUGAGUUGUCUCGGGUGAGCCACUGAACCACACAGAGUAGAGUGGAGUUGUCCCUACUGUGCCCUUUCAGGACAGAAUUCCUGAGCGUAAUAAAGUGGCUGUAGUUUUAGUCACUGUUUUGGGGCUGUUUGUUAUGCAGCACUAAUUAACUAGAACAGGUGAGAAGAUCAGAACUUCCUGGUGCUUAAAGCCAGCCACACAGCCCCUCGAAGCAAGAUUGUCUUAAUCUGGAAGUCAGUCCCAAGAACAGGUUCUCCCCAGUGCUCUCAGCAUUCCCCACCCCAGCCUGGCCCAUAAGCAGUGCUUGGGGCAUGCGGGGUUGCUGGAGCACUCCCAAGCCACUCCCAACACCUGGAAGGAGCCUCCCCUCCUCAGGAUUCUCAGCGGCGUUUGCAGCUUGGAUGACUGUGGACCCAGAAGCUCUGGGGAGUUAUCCAGGUUCUAUGUGGCAUGAGUAUCCCUCUGUGCCUCAGUUUUCCACCCAUGGAAUAGGGCACGAAACUCAUAAUCUCUCUGAUCCCUCUCGGCUCCUACCCCACCUUCCUGGAGGCCUUGUUCAUUCUCAUGUGUGUCUCCCCCACAUCCUCUUACCCAUGUGACUCUGCCUGCCAUGAAAGCAGGAGUCAUGACUGCAGUCUCACGGUUGAAUGUUCUGCACCUGGCACCCAGCCUAGGCCAGAGGAUGGAUGCCACACCACUGGUGUUUUCUGAAUGAAUCAAUGAGUCAGUCAAUAAAUGGAGUGAAUGAAUG
RNAcentral lists this long non-coding RNA (4162 nucleotides) under Homo sapiens (human). RNAcentral's name for it is "non-protein coding lnc-PPARA-11:1". Lineage: Eukaryota; Metazoa; Chordata; Mammalia; Primates; Hominidae. The record is from RNAcentral.